RNAcentral lists this unclassified non-coding RNA (332 nucleotides) under Hevea brasiliensis (rubber tree). Lineage: Eukaryota; Viridiplantae; Streptophyta; Magnoliopsida; Malpighiales; Euphorbiaceae. The record is from RNAcentral.
CUAGCGUCUCAAUGUUACACCAAAGCAGCCUAUAAAGCAAAGGGAAAGCGCUUCCAUUUAGCGUUUCUGUCGCUGAGACUCUGGGGUUUGUCUUCGUCAUCAACACCGCCGCAACCAUGGCUAUGAGAGCGAGGGCUGCUUUGGCUGCUGCUCCCCGCAGCUUGCUUCGGCUAUUCUCAACAACCUCCACUUCAUCCUUCGUUCCUCCGCCCACCCCAGCGGACGCUUCUGCUCGAGAACAGGCUGAGCCCAACACUAAUCUCUUUGUCUCUGGACUUAGCAAGCGUACUACUACAGAGGGACUAAGGGAAGCAUUUUCCAAGUUUGGUGAA